CUAACUGGUAAACACGAACACACAUUCUGUUCUAAUCAGUGUGAAAACUGGUUUCCCUGCUUUUGGUGGGGUCUUUUUCACAUUUAUUUUUGCAAUUCCCAUAAGUACUUAGCUUGCUAAGUGUUUACGGGACGGUCUCCGGGGGCUUUCACCUAUCCCUCGUGAGGCCAACUACUA
Molecule: small nuclear RNA, 177 nt
Filed under: Phytophthora sojae strain P6497
Lineage: Eukaryota; Oomycota; Peronosporomycetes; Peronosporales; Peronosporaceae
Description: U2 spliceosomal RNA
Rfam family: U2 spliceosomal RNA
About the family: U2 is a small nuclear RNA (snRNA) component of the spliceosome (involved in pre-mRNA splicing). Complementary binding between U2 snRNA (in an area lying towards the 5' end but 3' to hairpin I) and the branchpoint sequence (BPS) of the intron results the bulging out of an unpaired adenosine, on the BPS, which initiates a nucleophilic attack at the intronic 5' splice site, thus starting the first of two transesterification reactions that mediate splicing.
Source: Rfam by way of RNAcentral